AGCAGCCGCGGUAAUACGAAGGGUGCAAGCGUUACUCGGAAUUACUGGGCGUAAAGCGUGCGUAGGUGGUUGUUUAAGUCUGCUGUGAAAGCCCUGGGCUCAACCUGGGAAUUGCAGUGGAUACUGGGCGACUAGAGUAAGGUAGAGGAUAGUGGAAUUUCCGGUGUAGCAGUGAAAUGCGUAGAGAUCGGAAGGAACAUCUGUGGCGAAGGCGACUAUCUGGGCCAUUACUGACACUGAGGCACGAAAGCGUGGGGAGCAAACAGGAUUAGAUACCCCCGUAGUCCCUGUAUCUUAUACA
This 301-nucleotide ribosomal RNA is filed under the name uncultured bacterium. Its description in RNAcentral is "partial 16S ribosomal RNA". It matches the Rfam family "Bacterial small subunit ribosomal RNA", at positions 510 to 808 of the family's 1533-position model. The record is from RNAcentral.